UACGUAGGGUGCGAGCGUUGUCCGGAAUUAUUGGGCGUAAAGGGCUCGUAGGCGGUUUGUCGCGUCGGGAGUGAAAACACGGGGCUUAACCCCGCGCCUGCUUCCGAUACGGGCAGACUAGAGGUAUGCAGGGGAGAACGGAAUUCCUGGUGUAGCGGUGAAAUGCGCAGAUAUCAAGAGGAACACCAGUGGCGAAGGCGAGUCCCUGGACGAUACCUGACACUGAGGCACGAAAGCUAGGGGAGCAAACAGG
RNAcentral lists this ribosomal RNA (253 nucleotides) under uncultured bacterium. RNAcentral's name for it is "partial 16S ribosomal RNA". It matches the Rfam family "Bacterial small subunit ribosomal RNA", at positions 524 to 776 of the family's 1533-position model. The record is from RNAcentral.